AUGGGGGAAACCCUGAUCCAGCCAUGCCGCGUGUGUGAAGAAGGCCUUAGGGUUGUAAAGCACUUUCAGUGGGGAAGAAGGCAUGAUGAUUAAUACUCGUCAUGAAGGACAUCACCCACAGAAGAAGCACCGGCUAACUCCGUGCCAGCAGCCGCGGUAAUACGGAGGGUGCAAGCGUUAAUCGGAAUUACUGGGCGUAAAGGGCGCGUAGGCGGCUUGCCAAGCCGGAUGUGAAAGCCCCGGGCUCAACCCGGGAACGGCAUUCGGAACUGGCAGGCUAGAGUGCAGGAGAGGAAGGUGGAAUUCCCGGUGUAGCGGUGAAAUGCGUAGAGAUCGGGAGGAAUACCAGUGGCGAAGGCGGCCUUCUGGACUGACACUGACGCUGAGGCGCGAAAGCGUGGGUAGCAAACAGGAUUAGAUACCCUGGUAGUCCACGCCGUAAACGAUGUCGACCAGCCGUUGGACCCCUUGAGGGUUUGGUGGCGCAGUUAACGCAA
RNAcentral lists this ribosomal RNA (497 nucleotides) under Halomonas sp. CC-SN15-7. RNAcentral's name for it is "bacterial SSU rRNA". It matches the Rfam family "Bacterial small subunit ribosomal RNA", at positions 371 to 860 of the family's 1533-position model. The record is from RNAcentral. Lineage: Bacteria; Pseudomonadati; Pseudomonadota; Gammaproteobacteria; Oceanospirillales; Halomonadaceae.